AUUCCAGCUCCAAUAGCGUAUAUUAAAGUUGUUGCAGUUAAAAAGCUCGUAGUUGGAUUUCAGAGUGAGCUCGUCCGGUCGGCCUAAAUGGUCUGAACUGGUUGACUCUCUCUUGCUUGUGGAUCCCGCCCGGAGUUAACUCUUCGGAUGUGGACUUCACAUCGUUUACCUUGAAAAAAUUAGAGUGUUCAAAGCAGGCGUAUGCUUGAAUAUAUUAGCAUGGAAUAAUGGAAUAGGACCCUGGUUCUAUUUUGUUGGUUUUGAGGACCAGAGUAAUGAUUAAUAGGGAUAGUUGGGGGCAUUCAUAUUUCAUUGUCAGAGGUGAAAUUCUUGGAUUUAUGAAAGAUGAACUUCUGCGAAAGCAUUUGCCAAGGAUGUUUUCAUCG
This 386-nucleotide ribosomal RNA is filed under the name Telonemia sp. Its description in RNAcentral is "partial small subunit ribosomal RNA". It matches the Rfam family "Eukaryotic small subunit ribosomal RNA", at positions 582 to 975 of the family's 1831-position model. The record is from RNAcentral. Lineage: Eukaryota; Telonemia.